This is a long non-coding RNA of Drosophila biarmipes, 458 nucleotides long. RefSeq lists it as uncharacterized. NCBI's taxonomy places the organism in Eukaryota, Metazoa, Arthropoda, Insecta, Diptera, Drosophilidae. The record is from RefSeq and is a predicted model, not a curated record. The transcript has 3 exons.
AUCAGAGUUAUGUCAUUUAUUGUAAUAUAUAAACAUAAACAUAACAAUUUCAUGUAUUACAUACCACAUCACCUCGGUAACGUCAAUUGGACCAACCGGGCUAUUUUUGGACCUUAGGAGGGGUAGAGUAGGCCAACGUGGAAAUCAACUGCCAGCGAGUGCGCUUGCUCCAGAUGCCCAUAUUCUUAGAUUGAAAUAAUACCUACAUAUCACGUAGAACCUAGACUGGAAACCAUCAUUGAAUAUAUGAUACCUUUACGAAGGCAAAGAAAAUAAAUUUUGCUUGAGUGUUAUAGCAAUGUAUUUGUAAUGUACUAUUGACGAAAAAUAUUGGAAACACUCCGACCAUCAUUAAUUUUUAUACAUUUGAAUAACCAAAAAAAAACAUUUUGAUUUCACAAUGUAAAUACUACUCCCCUUUCUGAAAAAUCUCAAGAAAUUUUGUUGAUCAACACCCA